GUGGCAGCCGCCGCGGUAAAACCAGCACCUCAAGUGGUCAGGAUGAUUAUUGGGCCUAAAGCAUCCGUAGCCUGUUCUGUAAGUUUCCGGUUAAAUCCAUUAGCUCAACUAAUGGGCCGCCGAAAAUACUGCAGAACUAGGGAGUGGGAGAGGUAGACGGUACUCGGUAGGAAGGGGUAAAAUCCUUUGAUCUAUUGAUGACCACCUGUGGCGAAGGCGGUCUACCAGAACACGUUCGACGGUGAGGGAUGAAAGCUGGGGGAGCAAACCGGAUUAGAUACCCGGGUAGUCCCAGCUGUAAACGAUGCAGACUCGGUGAUGCGCUGGCUUGUGACCAGUGCAGUGCCGCAGGGAAGCCGUUAAGUUUGCCGCCUGGGAAGUACGUACGCAAGUAUGAAACUUAAAGGAAUUGGCGGGGGAGCACCACAAGGGGUGAAGCCUGCGGUUCAAUUGGAGUCAACGCCAGAAAUCUUACCCGAAGAGACAGCAGAAUGAAGGUCAAGCUGGAGACUUUACCAGACAAGCUGAGAAGUGGUGCAUGGCCGUCGCCAGCUCGUGCCGUGAGAUGUCCUGUUAAGUCAGGUAACGAGCGAGAUCCCUGCCUCUAGUUGCCACCAUUACUCUCCGGAGUAGUGGGGCGAAUUAGCGGGACCGCCGCAGUUAAUGCGGAGGAAGGAAGGGGCCACGGCAGGUCAGUAUGCCCUGAAACUUUGGGGCCACACGCGGGCUGCAAUGGUAGUGACAAUGGGUUCCGAAACCGAAAGGUGGAGGUAAUCCUCAAACGCUACCACAGUUAUGAUUGAGGGCUGCAACUCGUCCUCAUGAAUAUGGAAUCCCUAGUAACUGCGUGUCAUUACCGCGCAGUGAAUACGUCCCUGCUCCUUGCACACACCGCCCGUC
RNAcentral lists this ribosomal RNA (900 nucleotides) under uncultured archaeon. RNAcentral's name for it is "bacterial SSU rRNA". It matches the Rfam family "Archaeal small subunit ribosomal RNA", at positions 455 to 1354 of the family's 1478-position model. The record is from RNAcentral.